RNAcentral lists this ribosomal RNA (229 nucleotides) under uncultured bacterium. Its description in RNAcentral is "partial 16S ribosomal RNA". It matches the Rfam family "Bacterial small subunit ribosomal RNA", at positions 568 to 796 of the family's 1533-position model. The record is from RNAcentral.
CGCGCAGGCGGUCUUGUCCGUCAGGUGUGAAAGCUCGGGGCUCAACCCCGGAAGUGCACUUGAAACAGCAAGACUUGAAUACGGGAGAGGAGAGAGGAAUUCCUGGUGUAGAGGUGAAAUUCGUAGAUAUCAGGAGGAACACCGAUGGCGAAGGCAUCCCUCUGGACCGAUAUUGACGCUGAGGCGCGAAGGCGUGGGUAGCGAACAGGAUUAGAUACCCUGGUAGUCC